UACGAAGGGUGCAAGCGUUAGUCGGAAUUACUGGGCGUAAAGCGUGCGUAGGCGGUUUCUUAAGUCGGAUGUGAAAGCCCUGGGCUCAACCUGGGAAUGGCACUCGAUACUGGGAAGCUUGAGUGCGGUAGAGGAGGGUGGAAUUCCCGGUGUAGCGGUGAAAUGCGUAGAGAUCGGGAGGAACAUCAGUGGCGAAGGCGGCCCUCUGGUCCAGUACUGACACUCAAGUGCGAAAGCGUGGGGAGCAAACAGG
Molecule: ribosomal RNA, 253 nt
Filed under: uncultured bacterium
Lineage: Bacteria
Description: partial 16S ribosomal RNA
Rfam family: Bacterial small subunit ribosomal RNA
Source: RNAcentral